RNAcentral lists this ribosomal RNA (111 nucleotides) under Paenibacillus monticola. RNAcentral's name for it is "Paenibacillus sp. LC-T2 partial 23S ribosomal RNA". It matches the Rfam family "Bacterial large subunit ribosomal RNA", at positions 2809 to 2925 of the family's 2925-position model. The record is from RNAcentral. Lineage: Bacteria; Bacillati; Bacillota; Bacilli; Caryophanales; Paenibacillaceae.
AUUUCCCAAUUAGUAAGACCCCUUGAAGACGACGAGGUAGAUAGGUUGGAGGUGGAAGUGCAGCAAUGCAUGGAGCUGACCAAUACUAAUCGGUCGAGGGCUUAUCCACAA